This 608-nucleotide ribosomal RNA is filed under the name uncultured bacterium. Its description in RNAcentral is "bacterial SSU rRNA". It matches the Rfam family "Bacterial small subunit ribosomal RNA", at positions 633 to 1227 of the family's 1533-position model. The record is from RNAcentral.
CUAUCAGUCUAGAGUUCGAAGAAGAGGUGAGUGGAAUUUCCCCGGUGUAGCGGUGAAAUGCACUGAUAUCGGGAGGAACACCAGUGGCGAAGGCGCGUCUCUGGCCCGAUCCUGACGCUCCAGGCGCGAAAGCUGGGGGAGCAAACCAGGAUUAGAUACCCCUGGUAGUCCCAGCCGUAAACCGGUGAACACUAGGUGUGGGGGGCAUCGACCCCUUCCCGUGGCCGUAGCUAACCGCAUUAAGUGUUCCCGCCUGGGGAGUACGACCGCAAGGUUGAAACUCAAAGGAAUUGACGGGGGCCCGCACAAGGCGGUGGAGGCAUGUGGUUUAAUUCGAUGCAACGCGCAGAACCUUACCCAGGCUUGACAUGUACUGGACAGGUGUGGAAACACACUCUCUCUUCGGAGUCGGUACACAGGUGCUGCAUGGCUGUCGUCAGCUCGUGUCGUGAGAUGUUGGGUUAAGUCCCGCAACGAGCGCAACCCUUGCCCUUAGUUGCCAUCAUUUUAGGUGGGCACUCUAAGGGGACUGCCGGCGAUGAGCCGGAGGAAGGUGGGGAUGACGUCAAGUCCUCAUGGUCCUUAUGUCUGGGGCUACACACGUGCUA